Long non-coding RNA from Mirounga angustirostris (Northern elephant seal), 6601 nucleotides. RefSeq lists it as uncharacterized. The transcript is spliced from 6 exons. Lineage: Eukaryota; Metazoa; Chordata; Mammalia; Carnivora; Phocidae. The record is from RefSeq and is a predicted model, not a curated record.
AUAUGGGAACGCUUUGUGGAAGCCUGAGUGGGCAGGAAGGGACCCCAUUAUCUGGAGAGAUGGGAGUUGAAAGACACAGAACACUGAAUGGGGGCAUCAACACUAGGCAUUUUGGUUGACCGCUGGCCCAACCGAUCUACAAAACCGAAGUUUCAGGUUUUCUUGAGAGAGGCAAGUUCCCCUUCAACAGAUUUUAUAUUCCUGAAUUUAGAAGAGGGAAGAAGAAAGUCAAGACCAUUUGAAAAGGACUAAUUAUAACAGCUUCACCUUUGAAUUGACACUAAGUGGGUGGCAGAGGUGGAAACACCCUUAUAACUUUAAUAUUUUCAGGUCUAUAAUAUGGCAAAGGGGUAACAAACAUAUUUUUAGCACGUAGCAUAUUGACAGCCACUGAUUUGAAAAUAAGUACAGAUUGCAAAUCCCACUGGUCUCUUGAUGUCUAAGAUGAGAGCUUUUCAAGUUAUCUAAAUAGCCUUUGGCUUUCCCUCAGGGCCUCUCCUGAACAACUACAAGGGAAAUGAAGCUUCCCACUCUCCUCUUGAUAUGCUAAGCCCUGCAACAUUAUGUGAAUCUCCUUCUAUCCCAGGUCAUCCAUUUUCUCCCUUUGUCACCUGAUCUCCAGGAGGUGGCCCACCAGGAACACACCCUCACCUCAGGCCCCUCUGUGGUCCCACCUCUUCUCUCUCUCCAAGUUGUUCUCUCCCCAGCCCUUCUGUCAACACCACCUACCUGCUGCCAUGUUCCAUUUUCUUGGGUUCUUGCUCUUCUGUGUCCCCACUGAUGCCCAGCUGUUUUAUACCUCUCUAGAGCAUCGUUACCUGUCAACACCAGGCUUGUGUACACACACAGGUGGAAAGUUUCUACCCUGUAGAGGUUCGUGUGAGGAUAUUUUGGGGACUUCUCCAAAUGUUGGUGAUUGCCUUCAUCCUUCACCAGCACUGGGUAGUCCUCCUGGCUUCUCUUGGUCCAGAAUACCACUCACACAUCUGAGGCACAAGGACCCAUAUUAAGUACAGGAAUACUUUGGAGAUAUUGUGGAUUUGGUUCCAGGCCACUGCAAUAAAGCAAAUACCGCAAUAAUGUGAGUUAAAUUAGUUAAUUAAAUUAAUUAAUUAAUUAAAAAGUAGUUUAUUGAGGGGCGCCUGGGUGGCUCAGUUCGUUAAGCGACUGCCUUCGGCUCAGGUCAUGAUCCUGGAGUCCCGGGAUGGAGUCCCGCAUCGGGCUCCCUGCUCGGCAGGGAGUCUGCUUCUCCCUCUGACCCUCCUCCCUCUCCUGCUCUCUGUCUCUCAUUCUCUCUCUCUCAAAUAAAUAAAUUAAAAAAAUCUAAAAAAAAAAAAAGUUUAUUGCUAAAAAGAUGCGAACCAUCAUCUGAGCUCUCAGUGAGUCAUAAUCACUGAUCACAGAUAACAAACACAAUAAUAACAAAGUUUGAAAUAUUGUGAGAAUUACCAGCAUGUGACGCAAAGACAUGAAGUGAGCAAAUGCUCUUGGAGAAACGGCGGAUAGCUUUGCUUGAUGCAGGGUUGCCACAAGCCUUUGCUUUGUGAGGAACAUAGUAUCUGUGAAGUGUGAUAAAGUGCAACAAAAAACAUGCCUGUACGGCUUUGUCUACACUUAAGUAAUGAGGAAGCUUGGAAGUAAUCGCCUGCUGGUCCUUUUACUCUUUCAUUUCCUGAAGAGAAGAGGGCAUGUGACCACGAAGGCAGAGAGAGUGGUGAUGCCACCACAAGACAAGGAAUGCUGACAGUCACCAGAAGCUGGAAGAGGCUGGAACGGAAUCUCUCCAAGACCACCCCCAGUGGGAGUGUGGCCUUGCCAACACCUCGAUUUCAGCUCAGGGAAACUGAUUUUGGACUUCUGGCCUCCACAACGAUCUGGGGCUGUGUACCUGGCAUCUACUAAGUCCCAGUGAAUGAUUACUGAUUCGAAGCAUCACCAAGAGGGGGCUGACAUCAGUCUGCUUCUCCUGACUCACGUUAGAAAGGUUUUGACUAAUUUGACUGCUUGUGGUACAUCUGGCCUCACAGAGAUGUUUUAAUAAUACAUGCAAGUAUAUAUGAUUCACAUCCUCUGAUUUUGUUAUUUUGCGGGUAAAUUACCAGUUGGGAAAUGGGUGCUCUUUUAUUCUAAGGCUUAGGGAGGCCUUGGAAUUCAUCAACAUGUGUUGUAUGACUUUUUAAGGCUUCGAGCUCUGGAGAGUCAGAAAGAUCUCUGAGAACAACACAGGUCUUCUCAAAGAAUUCAAUUCUGUCUGGAGAUAAUAGGAGGUGAUUAAGUGCUGAAUUGUGAGUAAAGAGAUCUACCAUGUGCACACAGUAGGUGCUCCAUGAAGACUGGCUCACUGAGCCCUAUGUGAAAUAGGAAGAAGACAGCUGGUAAGAGAGGGUUAUUUCCAUGUCUGACAUGACGCCAACCAUUCUGGUGUCUAGCCUUCUGUUUUAUACAAAGAGUAAACAAGGUUCUACCGAUUUUGAGGCUCAGGGGAAAAUUUCAGAAAAAUUUCAGAGACUUACUUUAGUAUCUCUCAGAGUUGCCUGUCAUGGAAAGGCAUUUCUCACUUCUUUGAAGGAGGCUGUUAAAUUUUUAUAGAAUCUUUUCUCUGAAGAGUUCACAUACCAAGAUUUACGUAUGUAUCAAGGACAUGAUUUUAUUUACAUAUUUUAAAUUUGUCAUUCCCUUGAAAACAGAUCAGGGAAUAAUAUUUUGUAUAAUUUAAUGUUUAGGACCAGGAGAUUUCCCUAAAGGACUUCAUACCCGGGGGUUACCCCAUGAGGCAGGGAUCUGACUCAGCACCAUGAAAGGCGUAGGAAAUGGGCCCUAGGACGAAGUGUGCAGACAAUUGGCAUGAAAGAGUUUUCUUAAGCUUGGUUCUGUGUUGUGGCCUAUACACCAAGCAGAAGUGACACAAAAGAAGAAAGAAAUGAAAAUUGUUCUACCCCUCAAGGUGUUUGCAGCCCAGCAGGGGAGGCAGACGUAGAAAUAAAAGGUGCGGAGGCUCUGGAUAACCUUAGGCUAAUUUGAAAGCCCAGUGGUGGAAACUAUCACCUCAAGGUUAUUUGCCAUGUAAAGUGCUGGGAGAAUGACCCCAAAGGGGGGCCUCAGAACCAUUCCUCUGAACAGGAGGGGAGCCCUGGGGAUGCCAAUCAGCAGCUUGUCCAGAACGGCAGAUCCUGGUCCCUCAGGUUUGUGGCCUCCAUAUAGAGACCUCAGGCUCCUGUUUGCCCAAUUUGGGGCCCCCUCUGUCCCCUCAGCAUUUUGAAGUGGGGGACGAGGUCCCAGGAUGUUCACUGAGCCUUGGUUCAUGGGCGAUUUCCUGUAGAUACCAAGUGGCUGAACUGCGUGUGGUGCCCCAGGCAGGACCUCUCUUGUUCCUUCUCCUGGGGAUAGUCAAGCAUAGUUUCCCUCACUUCCUUGCAUGGCUGGGCGUGGGGCUAGGACGACGAAGAUGCUCAUGCUCCUGGGCCGGGAGGACGUGGCCAGCUCCACCCCAGGCCUGUAGGAGAAAUCCCCUCUCUCUCCUUCUUUUGCUAGGACAGCAUUUCCUUGAGUUUGUCAUCAGUGAUAAAAUCUGGAAGGCUGAGAUGAGGACAGGGCAAGAGGCCGAGUGACGGUUAGGCCUGCUUUUGUCUUAGGCCUUCGGCCUGCCUGCACCUAUAACGCUCAGCCUACCUGACAGAGGGAAGCUCUGUUGAGCUCUGGAGCAAAAGCCACAGGAGGAGGCCCCUCGAGGGCUCAGGGAUGCUGAGUUCCAAACCGUAACCCAGCUGCCGCUCCUGGCAAGUCUGAACAAAACGGUGAGAAAGGGGGUGGCAAAAAUGGAGUCCUCCGCCGAGUGUGAUGUGAACAAUUGAGGGAUGGUUGCUAUAGCUGCAAGUCUAGAAAAACCUUAGAUCAAUAAAAGAAGAUGCCUUCUCCAGAAGGUGGUGGCACACACUAGAAGUCAUAGCCACCAGCGAUUUCCAUGUAACUAGGAUCCCUUGAGGAAAGUCUAGGAAAAACCAGGACCUUCUCCCUGACUGGAGCUCGCCACUUCUGGCGCAGAUGAUGCUGUUCCAGCCAGGGCUCUAGCAGCAUAAACUAUCCCGUGGCUGUCUGGAAAUCUUCCCCAAUGGGCUCUUAUUCUUUGAGUGGUCCCUUCCCUUCUUCCACCUCCCCCUUGGCGCCUCCCCCCUCCCCCCACCCCCCUAGCUUGGAUUUCUGAACAUGAGUCUAGAGAAUAAAAUCGGAGAUUGUUUACACUUUCUUAUGCAACCUAAAUCUCACUUGGCUAGAGAGGCGUGUACAAAAAAUACAUUCUUUUUUUGCUUGAAUGUUUUAGACUUUAACCAGUUAUUACUGUUGGACUGUCUGGAAUCAGUAAUGAUAGGUACCAGUGAAAUAAAUUAUAGGUGAAAGUAGGACCAAGUAUCAGAAGGACACAGUUCCCAGGACAAGUGCAAUGGAAAGAACGAGAGUCUGAUGCGUCACUGCCUCAGCCCUCCAGCAACAGUAAGUGAGGAGCUGGAAUUCUUGACACAGGAUCAGAAAGUGGUUGAGGCUUUUGGGCUGAAUUAGACAUUUUACACAUAAGUAAGCAAGUAGGGCGAGGUUCUUCCCAAUAAUUGCCGGGGAGGGUUAUUAUCAACCCCAAUGAAACAAACAUAUUAACAUAUUAAUGCCACGAAUCAGCUUCUGACGGGGGCAUCCCUAGGGAAAACUGAAAGUCAAGGUAAUCCAGGUGCUUUUCAACAGGAACCCAGCGGCUCAGUCCUUUGCACGUGUGGCGCCCUUAAAAAGACAGGUUCCCAGGCCUCCUUUAGACCCCUUAGAGUUUCUGUAGCUCCCCAGGUGAUUCUGAUGUAUGGCCAGCUUAAGAGCCAUUGGUGUAAGCUGUGGGUGGGAGAGCUACUCUUCCCAGACUUUUGUCAAAAUUCUCUCCAUUACCAAGGAAAGGGGUGAGUCUGGGGGCUUUAAGUCUUGAUUCUUAGGGGCCCGCACGUAAUCUCUUCUGCUGGAUAAGUGGGUGUAACAUGGACAGUCCACAGCAAAAGGACCAGAGACAGGAUUAGAAAGAGCCGCUGCUCUUCCGUAUUGAUGGACUUGACUUUCUCUCCUUGGAGAAAAGCAUGGCAGGCAAAGGCAGUGCACUUAUGUACUAGACCUUGUUCUGGGAACUUGACAUAAAAUCUCUCUUAUAAUCUUUACAAAUGGGUCUUUUUGUCUCCCACUUACAUACGAGAAAGCUGAGGCUCAGCGGAGUGAAGGAGUUUGCUCCAGGGCUGGAUAUGCUAUACAGCUGGGGUUCGAACCACGGCCUGUCUGACUCCUCCUCUCAAAGCUUCACCUCAGAACACACGAAUCCUGCUUGCAAAGUUCAGCAGCGAAGACAUGUUAAAGCCGCCGGGAAGACUUUAAGAGGAGUUGAGGGGCAGGCGUUUGCUUCCAACAGCUGGGAAGCAUGAUAGAAUCAGCUGCAUGGUUAGGGGAUGGCCCUCGCAGCCCUGUCCCAUCUUCCUGGAUUUGGGAGCCAGCAACAGGGAAGUGCCAAUGCUCCUGUGACUUGCCUUCCCAAGAGACUUUUGUCCGGUGGAGCUGCGGCUUUGGCGGAAGAGACAGCCGAGAGCAGGGAAAAGCAAUAAGGAGUGAAGAGCAGAAGGGCUUUCUCCAUAGAUCCCUGUGAACUCUGAUCUCCUUGGGAUUUAAGGAAACUGCCCUCGCUGAAGUCCAGCGUUCCUUGUUCUUGUUAACAUUCAUGAAAUGAAAGAGCCACACAUCUUAGAGGACCUCAGCUAGACGGCGUCUCUGGAAGGCCCGAAUUCUGGAAUAGGAGCUGGUCCCAGUCCUCAAAGGAUCAAGCUAUUGCAAGAGGGAUCCUGGCCCUGGCCAAAAUAAAUCAUGGUGCGUAUCCGUCUGUUUAGCUUCUUGAAGACUUGUGUCAGAGCUCAGAAGAAGGAGCUUUCCUGGAUGCUGGGGUAAUACCAGAAGGAGGCGAUCUGGAGCUGGAUGCGAAGAAAGGGCGGAUGGAGGAGACAGUCUGGCUGUGAGACUGGCUGGUGCGGAGAUGGCCCCACUCAAAUAACCCACAGAGUCCUCAGCAAAUGCUUGGCCUGCAAGAAAUUGCUGCCCACCACAGUCUCUUCACAGGCUGUACAUUACAGUGAGCUGGGCCGAGGCCCUAAGAAAAGGGGGUCCUGGGAAGGCUUCUACCAGGUAGAAGGCCCUUAGGUCCCUCACCUUGUGUAAAGUCUUCGUACAUCAGCCCUGAUGCUUACUAGCCCCCUGACCUGGGGUAGCUUUCUCUACCAUUUUAUGCCACAUUUUUGUCUGUAAAAUGGGGAUUAUGCUUACUGUACAGGGCAGUGAGGAUUAGAUGGGUUAAUACGUGUAAAGCACAUGUUUAUGAACAGCACUGUCUAGAGUAAAUGAUCAAUAAAAUGUAAACUAUUAUUAUUAUUACUAUUAUUAAUUUCACUUCAUUGAAUCCUCUCAUAACCCAAAGAGAUAGAAGUGAUUAUUUCUGUUAAGGCAUAGUUUCACAUGGAUAAAUUCACGAGUCUCAUGCAAUUAUAAAAGGAACACAUAUCAAAGAUUUUAGUUAGCUCGUUAAUUAAUGAAAGAACCA